RNAcentral lists this microRNA precursor (56 nucleotides) under Heliconius melpomene (postman butterfly). Its description in RNAcentral is "Hme-Mir-2-P1-v1_pre stem-loop". The record is from RNAcentral. Lineage: Eukaryota; Metazoa; Arthropoda; Insecta; Lepidoptera; Nymphalidae.
AUCAAAGUCGGUUUGUCAUAGAUCACCACGUAACUAUCACAGCCAGCUUUGAUGAG